CCGGAUGCGAAACUUUCGGUCCGGCAGGACCUGAGGGCACCGGCUCUCUUCUCCGGUGCGCCUCGUGCUCAAAUUGCUCGUUGGAGGAUUUGGAUAUGAGGA
This 102-nucleotide small RNA is filed under the name Sphingomonas lycopersici. RNAcentral's name for it is "Repression of heat shock gene expression (ROSE) element". It matches the Rfam family "Repression of heat shock gene expression (ROSE) element". From Rfam's summary of the family: This family represents a 5' UTR cis-regulatory element found in heat shock mRNAs and is known as the ROSE (repression of heat shock gene expression) element. Lineage: Bacteria; Pseudomonadati; Pseudomonadota; Alphaproteobacteria; Sphingomonadales; Sphingomonadaceae. The record is from Rfam by way of RNAcentral.